This 611-nucleotide ribosomal RNA is filed under the name Anacaena sp. 2 MTM-2009. RNAcentral describes it as "eukaryotic LSU rRNA". It matches the Rfam family "Eukaryotic large subunit ribosomal RNA", at positions 663 to 1225 of the family's 3401-position model. Lineage: Eukaryota; Metazoa; Arthropoda; Insecta; Coleoptera; Hydrophilidae. The record is from RNAcentral. RNAcentral also lists the same sequence under 8 other names.
GGACCAAGGAGUCUAGCAUGUGCGCGAGUCGUUGGGACUUGCGAAACCUAAAGGCGAAAUGAAAGUGAAGGCCCGCCCCGCGCGGGCCGAGGGAGGAUGGGCCGCGUCACGACGCGGCCCCGCACUCCCGGGGCGUCUCGUUCUCAUUGCGAGAAGAGGCGCACCCAGAGCGUACACGCUGGGACCCGAAAGAUGGUGAACUAUGCCUGGUCAGGACGAAGUCAGGGGAAACCCUGAUGGAGGUCCGUAGCGAUUCUGACGUGCAAAUCGAUCGUCGGAACUGGGUAUAGGGGCGAAAGACUAAUCGAACCAUCUAGUAGCUGGUUCCCUCCGAAGUUUCCCUCAGGAUAGCUGGCGCUCGCUUUUGCGAGUCUCAUCCGGUAAAGCGAAUGAUUAGAGGCAUUGGGGUCGAAACGGCCUCAACCUAUUCUCAAACUUUAAAUGGGUGAGAUCUCCGGCUUGCUCAAACUUGAAGCCGCGAGAUUAACUUAAUAUAAGGAUCAGAGUGCCAAGUGGGCCACUUUUGGUAAGCAGAACUGGCGCUGUGGGAUGAACCAAACGCAGAGUUAAAGCGCCAAAAUCGACGCUUAUGGGAUACCAUGAAAGGCGUU